Molecule: long non-coding RNA, 89 nt
Organism: Phyllostomus discolor (pale spear-nosed bat)
Lineage: Eukaryota; Metazoa; Chordata; Mammalia; Chiroptera; Phyllostomidae
Exons: 3
Source: RefSeq, a predicted model, not a curated record
UUAAGGGCUUUUAUCUGGUUUCCAAAGUCAGGGAUUUUAGGGGAGGUUUCAGGAGAGGAUCUCAAUAGAAUGUUCUUCAGCUUCCUGGG